CCGGUCCCGGUUCACGUCCCACGAGCAGUCCGAUGCGGGCGACCCGGCGGCC
This 52-nucleotide non-coding RNA is filed under the name unclassified sequences. RNAcentral's name for it is "L31-Actinobacteria ribosomal protein leader". It matches the Rfam family "L31-Actinobacteria ribosomal protein leader". The record is from RNAcentral.